RNAcentral lists this ribosomal RNA (301 nucleotides) under uncultured bacterium. RNAcentral describes it as "partial 16S ribosomal RNA". It matches the Rfam family "Bacterial small subunit ribosomal RNA", at positions 509 to 809 of the family's 1533-position model. The record is from RNAcentral.
CAGUCGCCGCGGUAAUACGUAGGUGGCAAGCGUUGUCCGGAAUUAUUGGGCGUAAAGCGCGCGCAGGCGGAUAGGUCAGUCUGUCUUAAAAGUUCGGGGCUUAACCCCGUGAUGGGAUGGAAACUGCCAAUCUAGAGUAUCGGAGAGGAAAGUGGAAUUCCUAGUGUAGCGGUGAAAUGCGUAGAUAUUAGGAAGAACACCAGUGGCGAAGGCGACUUUCUGGACGAAAACGGACGCUGAGGCGCGAAAGCCAGGGGAGCAAAUGGGAUUAGAUACCCGCGUAGUCCCUGUCUCUUAUACA